This 460-nucleotide ribosomal RNA is filed under the name uncultured bacterium. RNAcentral describes it as "partial 16S ribosomal RNA". It matches the Rfam family "Bacterial small subunit ribosomal RNA", at positions 338 to 795 of the family's 1533-position model. The record is from RNAcentral.
CCUACGGGCGGCAGCAGUGAGGAAUAUUGGUCAAUGGACGAGAGUCUGAACCAGCCAAGUAGCGUGAAGGAUGACUGCCCUAUGGGUUGUAAACUUCUUUUAUAUGGGAAUAAAACGUUCCACGUGUGGGAUUUUGUAUGUACCAUAUGAAUAAGGAUCGGCUAACUCCGUGCCAGCAGCCGCGGUAAUACGGAGGAUCCGAGCGUUAUCCGGAUUUAUUGGGUUUAAAGGGUGCGUAGGUGGAUUGUUAAGUCAGUUGUGAAAGUUUGCGGCUCAACCGUAAAAUUGCAGUUGAAACUGGCAGUCUUGAGUACAGUAGAGGUGGGCGGAAUUCGUGGUGUAGCGGUGAAAUGCUUAGAUAUCACGAAGAACUCCGAUUGCGAAGGCAGUUCACUGGACUGCAACUGACACUGAGGCUCGAAAGUGUGGGUAUCAAACAGGAUUAGAUACCCUUGUAGUC